Molecule: long non-coding RNA, 475 nt
Filed under: Fukomys damarensis (Damara mole-rat)
Lineage: Eukaryota; Metazoa; Chordata; Mammalia; Rodentia; Bathyergidae
Description: lncRNA (ENSFDAG00000024035.1)
Source: RNAcentral
CUGUACCUGCACUGAGCUGUCUGCUCACGGAGCCUGCUCCAUCUUCCCAACCCUGCCAGGCACUGUCCCCGCAUAAGGACACACGGGCCCAGGCUCAGUGACGGGUGAGCCCUGGAUCUCAUCAGGCUAAGGCUGUGGUCACGCGAUGAGGAUCCCUCCCUCUCUAUUGUCCAAAGCCCCAGACCUGUCUGAAGCAUUCCCAGGGGCUUGAGGUCACGGGGCUCUGGCCCUUGUCUGUGACUGACCAGUAGGCAUAAAUGGUACGGCUCCUCUGGCACCUACAACACAAAACCUUGGCUGGAAAAUCGGCAACACAUCCAUAGCUCCUCCAAAAGAGACCACACCCUGUGAUCCAGGACUGUAAAUGGCACAGCCGUCUCUAGACAGUGGCCAUGAAGUAAAACUCCUACUGUUCCUGAUGGUGGGCUGUGACAUGCCAAAACAUAACUCCAUUUUUGCCUCUGGUCACAGCUGA